RNAcentral lists this ribosomal RNA (521 nucleotides) under uncultured bacterium. RNAcentral describes it as "bacterial SSU rRNA". It matches the Rfam family "Archaeal small subunit ribosomal RNA", at positions 345 to 866 of the family's 1478-position model. The record is from RNAcentral.
AACCUCCGCAAUGUGGGAAGUCGCGACGGGGGGAUCCCAAGUGCCAUUCUUAACGGGAUGGCUUUUCAUUAGUGUAAAGAGCUUUUGGAAUAAGAGCUGGGCAAGACCGGUGCCAGCCGCCGCGGUAACACCGGCAGCUCUAGUGGUAACAAUUUUUAUUGGGCCUAAAGCGUCCGUAGCCGGUUUAAUAAGUCUCUGGUGAAAUCCUGUAGCUUAACUGUGGGAAUUGCUGGAGAUACUAUUAGACUUGAGACCGGGAGAGGUUAGAGGUACUCCCAGGGUAGAGGUGAAAUUCUGUAAUCCUGGGAGGACCGCCUGUUGCGAAGGCGUCUAACUGGAACGGUUCUGACGGUGAGGGACGAAAGUUAGGGGCGCGAACCGGAUUAGAUACCCGGGUAGUCCUAACUGUAAACGAUGCGGACUUGGUGUUGGGGUGGCUUUGAGCUGCUCCAGUGCCGAAGGGAAGCUGUUAAGUCCGCCGCCUGGGAAGUACGGUCGCAAGACUGAAACUUAAAAGGAAA